Molecule: ribosomal RNA, 255 nt
Filed under: Salmonella enterica subsp. enterica serovar Muenster
Lineage: Bacteria; Pseudomonadati; Pseudomonadota; Gammaproteobacteria; Enterobacterales; Enterobacteriaceae
Description: partial 16S ribosomal RNA
Rfam family: Bacterial small subunit ribosomal RNA
Source: RNAcentral
UUUAUGGAGAGUUUGAUCCUGGCUCAGGAUGAACGCUGGCGGCGUGCCUAAUACAUGCAAGUCGAGCGAACAGAUGAGAAGCUUGCUUCUCUGAUGUUAGCGGCGGACGGGUGAGUAACACGUGGGUAACCUACCUAUAAGACUGGGAUAACUCCGGGAAACCGGGGCUAAUACCGGAUAAUAUUUUGAACCGCAUGGUUCAAUAGUGAAAGACGGUUUCGGCUGUCACUUAUAGAUGGACCCGCGCCGUAUUAG